UACUUAGGGUGCAAGCGUUAAUCGGAAUUACUGGGCGUAAAGCGUGCGCAGGCGGUUCGCUAAGACAGAUGUGAAAUCCCCAGGCUUAACCUGGGAACUGCAUCCGAUACUGGAUGGCUUGAAUCCGGGAGAGGGAUGCGGAAUUCCAGGUGUAGCGGUGAAAUGCGUAGAUAUCUGGAGGAACACCGGUGGCGAAGGCGGCAUCCUGGACCGGUAUUGACGCUGAGGAGCGAAAGCCAGGGGAGCAAACGGG
Molecule: ribosomal RNA, 253 nt
Filed under: uncultured bacterium
Lineage: Bacteria
Description: partial 16S ribosomal RNA
Rfam family: Bacterial small subunit ribosomal RNA
Source: RNAcentral